Helicoverpa armigera (cotton bollworm) is the source of this 1218-nucleotide long non-coding RNA. RefSeq lists it as uncharacterized. The record is from RefSeq and is a predicted model, not a curated record. NCBI's taxonomy places the organism in Eukaryota, Metazoa, Arthropoda, Insecta, Lepidoptera, Noctuidae. The transcript is spliced from 2 exons.
AAAUUAAAAGAAAAGAUAAAAAUGUUUUUAGACAUAUUUGUGGAUUAUCCUUUCACCUGCGAUAUCCACAAGAUAGAAUUAAGAAAUGUUUUUGAAAACAUUACAAUAAAUAUUUUGGUAUAUAGUUGGUGCCGCUCAAUUAAUCGAAUUUUAUCAGGUAAAAUCCAAUAUCGUGAUGAGGAUGAUGAAACUAAACUUUCAGCACAAAUUUAUUACAAUAAACAUAAACAUAAGUAAAUAUGAUUUUUAUUUAAUUCCAGGUCGCCUACUAAGUACUUUCUAAAUGUUCCUACAUAACGUUGUUCUGUUGAGUUGUAGUAAUCUGUGUUGUAUUUCCAUAUUUCAAUAAAUAACUAUUUUCUACAUUCUGUGGCUAUAUUUUGUAAGUACGUACGUAUGAACAAAUUCCCCUAGAAUAUCUAUAGACGGUUAUUCGUCAUCUCGACACACUAAACUCACCACGAAUGUGUCGAGUUGGUGAAACUCAAAAUUUGUACAUUUAUCAUGUCGUCAACUCGCCACGUCAAGAUUUUAAUUCGUGUCCAGUUAGUGAAACUUAGAUUUUAUCACUUUUAUGUUUUCGCCAAGUUUGGGAAUCAACUUUUCGCGUUUCAAACGUUUGCAAAAUGGACGUUCAGUGGCCGAUGAUGUUUGUGACACAAUGUAUCCAGUUGGCGAAAACAUAAAAGUGAUAAAAUCUAAGUUUCACUAACUGGACACGAAUGAAAAUCUUGAGUGGCGAGUUGACGACAUGAUAAAUGUACAAAUUUCGAGUUUCACCAACUCGACACUUUAAUGGUGAGUUUAGUCUGUCGAGAUGACGAAUAACCUGUAGACAAUACUGAUGUAUACAUGUGUGUGAAAUGGGAUGUACGCACACAUAAACAAUUUGUUUCGGCAGACGAUACCAGAUGGCGCUUCAAAAAUCGUUUGAAGGUUGCAGAAAAAAAUCGAAGUGGGUUCUCUAUUCCCAAUCUAUUUACUAUACUCUAUGAUAGUGACGUAUCGGAGCUUGUGUCUUGUGAACGUGUGUCAGUGCUCAUGAAAAUCGCCGUAAGCUGUCUUAUGACCAUACUUUGGAAUAAAAAUGUGUGACAGAUUUAAGGACAGCAGGGGCAAAAAGUUACUUCAACUUUUAAAUUCUGAAAGUGACGAAAAUAAAGAAAAUUGUGAUUCAAUAUUAAGAAGAACAAUAAAUAAAAAAUGUUUUUUGUGUUA